RNAcentral lists this transfer RNA (69 nucleotides) under Marmota monax (woodchuck). RNAcentral's name for it is "tRNA.Ala". The record is from RNAcentral. Lineage: Eukaryota; Metazoa; Chordata; Mammalia; Rodentia; Sciuridae.
GGAAUUGUGGCUCAGGGGUAGAGUGCUCGCCUAGCAUGUGCAAGGCCCUGAGUUCAAUCCUCAGCACCA